This is a non-coding RNA of Stegodyphus mimosarum, 73 nucleotides long. NCBI's taxonomy places the organism in Eukaryota, Metazoa, Arthropoda, Arachnida, Araneae, Eresidae. The record is from Rfam.
GCUUUCAUGGUGUAGUGGUCAGCACACUCGGCGCGUAUUCGAGAAGUCCGUGGUUCGAGUCCCAGUGAAGGCA